RNAcentral lists this ribosomal RNA (630 nucleotides) under Arsenophonus endosymbiont of Trialeurodes vaporariorum. Its description in RNAcentral is "bacterial SSU rRNA". It matches the Rfam family "Bacterial small subunit ribosomal RNA", at positions 494 to 1123 of the family's 1533-position model. The record is from RNAcentral. Lineage: Bacteria; Pseudomonadati; Pseudomonadota; Gammaproteobacteria; Enterobacterales; Morganellaceae.
CGGCUAACUCCGUACCAGCAGCCGCGGUAAUACGGAGGGUGCGAGCGUUAAUCGGAAUUACUGGGCGUAAAGGGCACGCAGGCGGUUAAUUAAGUUGGAUGUGAAAUCCCCGGGCUUAACCUGGGAAUGGCAUUCAAGACUGGUUAGCUAGAGUCUUGUAAAGGGGGGUAGAAUUCCAUGUGUAGCGGUGAAAUGCGUAGAGAUAUGGAGGAAUACCGGUGGCGAAGGCGGCCCCCUGGACAAAGACUGACGCUCAUGUGCGAAAGCGUGGGGAGCAAACAGGAUUAGAUACCCUGGUAGUCCACGCUGUAAACGAUGUCGAUUUGGAGGUUGUGGUCAUGAACUGUGGCCUCCGGAGCUAACGCGUUAAAUCGACCGCCUGGGGAGUACGGCCGCAAGGCUAAAACUCAAAUGAAUUGACGGGGGCCCGCACAAGCGGUGGAGCAUGUGGUUUAAUUCGAUGCAACGCGAAGAACCUUACCUACUCUUGACAUCCAGCGAAUCCUUUAGAGAUAGAGGAGUGCCUUCGGGAGCGCUGAGACAGGUGCUGCAUGGCUGUCGUCAGCUCGUGUUGUGAAAUGUUGGGUUAAGUCCCGCAACGAGCGCAACCCUUAUCCUUUGUUGCCAGCG